Triticum aestivum (bread wheat) is the source of this 135-nucleotide non-coding RNA. The record is from Rfam. Lineage: Eukaryota; Viridiplantae; Streptophyta; Magnoliopsida; Poales; Poaceae.
UGAUUACUCCCUCCGUCCGAAAAUACUUGUCAUCAAAAUGGAUAAAAAGAAAUGUAUCUAAAACUAAAAUACGUCUAGAUACAUCCCCUUUUAUCCAUUUUGAUGACAAGUAUUUCCGGAGGGAGGGAGUACAUA